Molecule: ribosomal RNA, 396 nt
Filed under: uncultured soil bacterium
Lineage: Bacteria
Description: bacterial SSU rRNA
Rfam family: Bacterial small subunit ribosomal RNA
Source: RNAcentral
AGAUUGAACGCUGGCGGCAGGCCUAACACAUGCAAGUCGAGCGGUAGAGAGGUGCUUGCACCUCUUGAGAGCGGCGGACGGGUGAGUAAUGCCUAGGAAUCUGCCUAGUGGUGGGGGAUAACGUUCGGAAACGGACGCUAAUACCGCAUACGUCCUACGGGAGAAAGCGGGGGACCUUCGGGCCUCGCGCCAUUAGAUGAGCCUAGGUCGGAUUAGCUAGUUGGUGAGGUAAUGGCUCACCAAGGCGACGAUCCGUAACUGGUCUGAGAGGAUGAUCAGUCACACUGGAACUGAGACACGGUCCAGACCUCCGUACGGGAGCAGCAGGUGGGAAUAGUGGACAAGUGGGACAAAGCCUAGACUCCAGCCAUCGCCGCGUGUGUGAAGAAGGUCGUU